Molecule: long non-coding RNA, 1619 nt
Organism: Ailuropoda melanoleuca (giant panda)
Lineage: Eukaryota; Metazoa; Chordata; Mammalia; Carnivora; Ursidae
Source: Ensembl
AAAUAUGCCUGUGAGCCGUAUAGGCUUAUGGAAAGAUUCCCUAUACACAACAAAAAUCAAAACUCUCCUCUCCCCAACUCCAAUCUCUACUAGAAAAAAAUGGGCCAUUAUUAAAUUGACUUGACGUGGAUUUAUGGCGGAGAUGAGUAAUCUGUGACGAUAUUAAAUAGAGGGAAACCUAACUUCGUUAAACCUCAGGUCUCUUGUCUGUCUUCGUAGCACUGAUGGUACUGUUGUAUUUAUUGCCUAAGAUACUACAACACACCUGGCUUUCCUCUCAGUAGAGUGGCAUCUGCCUUCGUUGAAGAAUAGUUGAAUCUUUUUGGUAUGGUCCAGAAUAUGGCUACGCUAUAAUGUCCCGGGUUCUAUUUAAGAUGGGUUGUCUGCAUGGUGGUAAAAUAAGCGUCUUCCUCUUGCCUACAUCUUUUGGAAGGUUUCCCGAUUAUGUACAAACUCUUUAGGUGAGGCUUAUUCUUGCUGUUUUGCCGUGUCACUCUCUACGUUUCCGUGAGCAUUAAUGCAGAGCGGAGAGGUGUGACGUGGGAGUGGGGCUAAGAAGGAGGGCUAGCGGCUCAAGCGGAAGCUCCCAUUCAUCAGAGUGAAAGCACUCUCUGUGCCGCCUAGUCAGCAGUGAGGAGGGGAGGGGGGAAACCCUUCUCACACCGAGGACACUGCAGCUUCAGGUAAUCCAUGUCCCACGCUAGCAACCCAGGCGUUCAUCUGUUCAAACCAGAAAAACUGAACUUCCUUGAUUAGCUCCAGGCCUCCCAGCUUGGGACAAGGGACCAGUAAGAGAAUGCCAUUGCUGUGCUUUCUGUUGGAAACUAUUAGAAAUCACACUGAACUCCAAACCCCAGUGGAACAUGGGAUUCCAGAAGUUUUCUGUUGCAACUGGCCACACUUGCUAGUUCGUUGUCUCUGCAUGCUCUGUUCCUCACAGAAGCUAGCUCUUAAUUAGUAUUUAUUUUGGACUCAUUUAUGGUAUAAGCUUAGUGAUCUAAUAUAUUUAUUUUUGGAAAGGGCCAAGUUACUCUACAUCAUAUUUUUUGAGCCUGCGUUGUUGAUACCUCGUGCAGUGACCACCGAGUAACUAUAUAUCCGUGUGUUCGAGAUUGAUUACAUCAUUUGCAUCACACUCAGUAUUUGGAAUUAAAGAUGUGAAUGUUCUGUGACCAGAGCCAGGUUUGACACAGGUGGAAUCAGCUCCUGGGGGAACACGAAUCCUGAAAACUCUGGUCACCUGAUCCAUUGCAUCUGGAUUGAGUGUAUUUUAACAGAGAAAGAAAUUAAACGAUUUUAUAUAAAAAGCAUGUGUCUGUAAUUUUCCUUUGUUCUUUUACCCUUGGUCAUGUCACCCCUGAGCACUGCAUACUGCCUCACUCCCUUGGAACCACUUGGGACUAGAGGAGGCCUAGUGUCUCUCCUCGGCUCCAGCCUUCCUGAAUCCAUCCCUGGAAUUGUUGGUGUUUAAAACAUAAGAAAACUGGUGGCAUCACCAAUUUGUAGUUCUUUUCUAUCAGGUAACAACAGCAGCUGCAAUAUUACAGCCUACGCAGGGCUAAGCUACUUAGCAUCUGAAAAUCAGGUGUUAUCUCAGUUCCUCAAUGGCCUUGUUCCCA